RNAcentral lists this ribosomal RNA (1196 nucleotides) under uncultured eukaryote. RNAcentral describes it as "bacterial SSU rRNA". It matches the Rfam family "Eukaryotic small subunit ribosomal RNA", at positions 636 to 1831 of the family's 1831-position model. The record is from RNAcentral.
GCUACCCCCACGAAAGGGAUGAUUCUUCGGGACAUGAGGCAGUCGGGCAGUUCCCGAAUACAAUCAAAGCGAUUCAUGUGCAGUAAAUGUCGAUUUGUCAUGUCAGCCAGGGGUUGCUUCCCGAGAGCCAAAAUGUGGGUCUUGCACGUGCGAUCGAUGUUGGAAGCAGGAGCCAGACCUUAGUUGCAUAAUUAGAGUAUGAUAGCCAGCGUGUCGCUGGAUUUGAUAGCUAGCAUAGUUAAUGGUAGUGAGAUUUCCUUGUCGAUUGCUGUAGUCGCAGUAAGUGUUACUAGGGACCGUAGAGGUCAUUAGUACUCACGUGAGAGAGAUGAAAUUCGUCGAUCCUGUGUAGACUAACAUGUGAGUAAGCAUUCCCACAGGAUGGAUUCGCUAAUCAAGAUCGAAGGUUAGCGUAUAGAUAACUAUGAGAGUAAAGCUGUAGUCUGAACAGUAUACUAUGUCGACUAGGGAUUGGUCGAUGCUAUCUGUCUGAAUCGAUAGAUCACCUAGGAGAAAUCACAGUUCAGGCAGUACGGGGGGAGAGUGGUAGCAAGGGUGCAGGUUAAAGAUACAGAUGGAAGGGCAUCACCAGGAGCGGAGCUUGUGUAUUAAUUUGAAUCAGCAAGGGGAGAGUCUGCAGGUCCCGGCAUAGGAAGGAAAGACAGACUGAUAGAUGGAUCUAGAUUGUAUGCGUGGCGGUGCAUGGCCGUUAAAAGUGGGUGGAGUGAUGUGUCUGCUUAACUUCGAUGAGGAGGGAGGCGGUAAUCUGGGUAGCAUAGCCGCAUUCGUUGGAGGUGGUAGGCGGGUUUCAGGAUGGGUCUCUGGAGUUGAGCCAUUGGUAGUCGGAGGCAGUAGCAGGUAUGGGAGGCCUUUAUAUGAUCAUGGACACACGAUAGGGCAGAUGAUUGGAACGAAGGAGUGCCAGCAUGUGGGCAAGGGGUGGGAGAUGUUGUGAAGAUUCGUCAACAAGGGGGAGUAGCAUCGCAAAAAUACAUCCUCUCCGGAGAGUUGGGGGUAGGAGGCAGUUAUCAGCUCGAGAAGUUCCACAGCUAUCCAUGUGGCAACACCCAUCGAAGAAACUAUAGAUGGAAUGGUGAACCGAUCGCAGGGGCACAGCACAAAGUAGCGGAAACGGGGACGAGCGGGGGGGAAUUUAGGCAACAAGCGAUCAGUAAGAGGACGGAAUCGUCCAGGCA